RNAcentral lists this ribosomal RNA (377 nucleotides) under uncultured bacterium. Its description in RNAcentral is "bacterial SSU rRNA". It matches the Rfam family "Bacterial small subunit ribosomal RNA", at positions 521 to 896 of the family's 1533-position model. The record is from RNAcentral.
UAAAACGUAGGACGCAAGCGUUAUCCGGAAUUAUUGGGCGUAAAGGGCGUUUAGGCGGCGUCUUAAGUUGGGCGUGAAAUCUUCCGGCUCAACCGGAAGGGUGCGUCCAAUACUGGGACGCUUGGGGGCAGCAGAGGGAGGUGGAAUUCCCGGUGUAGCGGUGGAAUGCGUAGAUAUCGGGAGGAACACCAGUGGCGAAGGCGGCCUCCUGGGCUGUACCUGACGCUGAAGCGCGAAAGCGUGGGGAGCAAACGGGAUUAGAUACCCCGGUAGUCCACGCCGUAAACGAUGGAUACUAGGUGUUGGUGGUAUUGACCCCACCAGUGCCGCAGCUAACGCAUUAAGUAUCCCGCCUGGGGACUACGGCCGCAAGGCUA